CCAACUGCCAAGCUCUCCAGAGGAGCUUCCUUCUGCGUCCCCGGGCCUUGAUCCCCGCCUCUCCCGCAGCCUCGCCUGUGCGGCAGCCCUGGGCACCCUGGGCUGGGGCUGCUAGGUGGCGGCUCACCCGCUCACGGGCUGCUGUUGGCAGCUGUUCCGGACCGGGGUCUCCUGGAAGCUGCAGUUUCGCCUCCGGGUGUUUGAAGCAAAUCCUAGGUAUCCAGGCACUUGAAUCUUAGACCCUUCAGAGUGCACUUUUGAAAGGAUCUCAGUAAGCUGCCAUGUCUGAAAGUUCUACUAUAUUCCACUAACACUAGGGGCUGAGAACUGAGCUUCUCACACAUGGGCCCUUGGGGGAUACUUCUUCAAGCCACAGCACCAUGUAGAUACCCUUCCCCUAAAAAGGUUCCUGUUUUGGGGAGCCUGUGUCCCCCUGUCAGAGGAUGAAAUUGUGAGAAGAGUAAUAAGACUUUGCUGUGUUGGAAGGGCUCCCUGGAAGAGAAGGGAGAGCAAAGAAAAUUUCUUAGAAGAAAGGAUCAAUAACCUAACAAAUAUUGAAUGCAGGGCACUGUGCCAGAUUCCACAUGGAAGUCUGAAGGCAGAUGCCAGUUUAUGGCACAGAGGCCCUAAAAGCCUUGGAAUAGGCUGAGUGAUGAGAGACUCUUGGCAGAUGGGCAAUUAAACAGCUGCAGGAGGGACUGGAGGCUGGAGCGCCCAGACCUUGGCUAGGAACUACCAGUCCUAUCAUCAGUCUGCUGCCAAGGAACUGAGGCUCAACACUGUGUCAGUCACCAAUGGCCAUGGUCAUGCCUGGGCAAUGAAACCUGCCUCGAAACCCCCACAAGACGAUUGGAGUUUCAGAAGGUUCUGAGUGGGUAAACAUAUCUAUGUGCUGGGACAGUGGUGUACCCUAAUGGUACGGAGACAGAAGCCCCUCUACUGGCAACCCUUCUGAGCCUUCAUAUACCC
Molecule: long non-coding RNA, 969 nt
Filed under: Heterocephalus glaber (naked mole-rat)
Lineage: Eukaryota; Metazoa; Chordata; Mammalia; Rodentia; Bathyergidae
Description: lncRNA (ENSHGLG00000029507.2)
Source: RNAcentral